This 1473-nucleotide ribosomal RNA is filed under the name Burkholderia mallei 2002721280. Its description in RNAcentral is "16S ribosomal RNA". The record is from RNAcentral. Lineage: Bacteria; Pseudomonadati; Pseudomonadota; Betaproteobacteria; Burkholderiales; Burkholderiaceae.
GACCGAUGGCGACAAGCGCAAGAUCACGCUGACUCGCCGGCACACGUCGGAGAUCAAGCAGGCCGACGCAACGGGUAAGGCUCGCACCAUUCAGGUCGAGGUGCGCAAGAAGCGCACGUUCGUCAAGCGCGACGACGUGAGCGAGACGGGCGCCGAUCAGGCUCAGGCGCAGACCGACGAGCAGGCGGAAGCCGAACUGAAGCGCCGCGAGGAAGAAGCGCGCCGCGAGGCCGAGCUGCUCGAGAAGCAGGCGCAGGAACUGCGCGAGCGUCAGGAGCGUCUCGAGCGCGAGGAAGCCGAGCGCCGUGCGCGCGAAGAAGCGGCCGAGGCCGAGCGUCGCCGUGCGGAAGAGGAAGCCGCGGCGAAGCGCGCGGCGGCGGCGCAGGCGGAAGCCGCGCAGCAGGCCGCGGCUGCGCGCGAGCAAGCGCAGCGCGCGCAGAGCGAGCCGGCCGAGCAGAGCGCUCAGGACGAAGCGCGUGCGGCCGCCGAGCGCGCCGCGCAGCGCGAAGCGGCGAAGAAGGCCGAGGACGCCGCACGCGAAGCGGCCGACAAGGCGCGCGCCGAGCAGGAAGAGAUUCGCAAGCGUCGCGAGGCCGCCGAGGCCGAAGCGCGCGCGAUCCGCGAAAUGAUGAACACGCCGCGCCGUGCGCAGGUCAAGGCGGUCGAGCCGCCGAAGCCGGCCGAGCCGCCCGCGGCGAAGGCGGCCGAGGCGAAGGGCACGCUGCACAAGCCGGCGAAACCCGCCGGCGAGGCGGCCGCGGCGCGCCCCGCGGCGAAGAAGCCGGCAAGCGGCGCGCCGGCGCCCGCCGCCGCGCCCGCGGGCGACCGCACCAAGAAGCCGGGCACCGGCAAGAGCGGCUGGCAGGACGACGCGGCGAAACGCCGCGGAAUCAAGACGCGCGGCGAUUCGAGCGGCGGCGUCGACCGCGGCUGGCGCGGCGGCCCGAAGGGGCGCGGCAAGCAUCAGGACAGCGCAUCGUCGUUCCAGGCGCCGACCGAGCCGAUCGUGCGUGAAGUGCACGUGCCGGAGACCAUCUCCGUCGCGGAUCUCGCGCACAAGAUGUCGAUCAAGGCAUCGGAAGUCAUCAAGGUGAUGAUGAAGAUGGGCCAGAUGGUCACGAUCAACCAGGUGCUGGACCAGGAAACGGCGAUGAUCGUCGUCGAGGAACUGGGCCACCGCGCGCUCGCCGCGAAGCUCGACGAUCCGGAGGCGCUCCUCGUCGAAGGCGAGAUCGGCAGCGAUGCGGAGCAACUGCCGCGUCCGCCCGUCGUCACCGUCAUGGGCCACGUCGACCACGGCAAGACCUCGCUGCUCGACUACAUCCGUCGCGCGAAGGUCGCGGCCGGCGAAGCGGGCGGCAUCACGCAGCACAUCGGCGCGUAUCACGUCGAAACGCCGCGCGGCGUCGUCACGUUCCUCGACACGCCGGGCCACGAGGCGUUCACCGCCAUGCGUGCGCGCGGCGCGAAGGC